GUAGGUGGCAAGCGUUGUCCGGAAUUAUUGGGCGUAAAGCGCGCGCAGGCGGUCCUUUAAGUCUGAUGUGAAAGCCCACGGCUCAACCGUGGAGGGUCAUUGGAAACUGGGGGACUUGAGUACAGGAGAGGAAAGUGGAAUUCCAUGUGUAGCGGUGAAAUGCGUAGAGAUGUGGAGGAACACCAGUGGCGAAGGCGACUUUCUGGUCUGUAACUGACGCUGAGGCGCGAAAGCGUGGGGAGCAAACAGGAUUAGAUACCCUGGUAGUCCACGCCGUAAACGAUGAGUGCUAAGUGUCAGGGGGUUUCCGCCCCUUAGUGCUGCAGCUAACGCAUUAAGCACUCCGCCUGGGGAGUACGGCCGCAAGGCUG
Molecule: ribosomal RNA, 371 nt
Filed under: uncultured bacterium
Lineage: Bacteria
Description: bacterial SSU rRNA
Rfam family: Bacterial small subunit ribosomal RNA
Source: RNAcentral